This 274-nucleotide ribosomal RNA is filed under the name uncultured bacterium. RNAcentral describes it as "partial 16S ribosomal RNA". It matches the Rfam family "Bacterial small subunit ribosomal RNA", at positions 523 to 796 of the family's 1533-position model. The record is from RNAcentral.
AUACGGAGGGGGUUAGCGUUGUUCGGAAUUACUGGGCGUAAAGCGCACGUAGGCGGACUGGAAGGUUGGGGGUGAAAUCCCGGGGCUCAACCCCGGAACUGCCUCCAAAACUUCCAAUCUAGAGAUCGAGAGAGGUGAGUGGAAUUCCAAGUGUAGAGGUGAAAUUCGUAGAUAUUUGGAGGAACACCAGUGGCGAAGGCGGCUCACUGGCUCGAUACUGACGCUGAGGUGCGAAAGCGUGGGGAGCAAACAGGAGUAGAAACCCUAGUAGUCC